CUUCACCGAGCCGAGCCACAGCGGGCGGUCCUCGGCGCGGUCGCGUCCGUAGGUCGCCAGCAGGGCCUGCGCCUC
RNAcentral lists this antisense RNA (75 nucleotides) under Actinoalloteichus hoggarensis. RNAcentral describes it as "ASpks TB sRNA". It matches the Rfam family "ASpks TB sRNA". Lineage: Bacteria; Bacillati; Actinomycetota; Actinomycetes; Pseudonocardiales; Pseudonocardiaceae. The record is from Rfam by way of RNAcentral.